ACCUGGCUGGCUCAGUCUGUAGAGCAUGUGACUCCUGAUCUCAGGAUCAUGGGUUCAAGCCCCAUGUUGGGCC
Molecule: non-coding RNA, 73 nt
Organism: Hyaena hyaena (striped hyena)
Lineage: Eukaryota; Metazoa; Chordata; Mammalia; Carnivora; Hyaenidae
Source: the annotation of a RefSeq genome assembly